CUAGCAUAUCAAUAAGCGGAGGAAAAGAAACCAACAGGGAUUGCCUCAGUAACGGCGAGUGAAGCGGCAACAGCUCAAAUUUGAAAUCUGGCUCCUUCGGGGUCCGAGUUGUAAUUUGCAGAGGGUGCUUCGGUGGAAGCUCCGGCCCAAGUCCCUUGGAACAGGACGUCAGAGAGGGUGAGAACCCCCGUGUCCGGCCGGCAGCGCUCCCCCGCGUGAAGCCCCUUCGACGAGUCGAGUUGUUUGGGAAUGCAGCUCUAAAUUGGUGGUAAAUUCCAUCUAAAGCUAAAUACCGGCCAGAGACCGAUAGCGCACAAGUAGAGUGAUCGAAAGAUGAAAAGCACUUUGAAAAGAGAGUCAAAAAGUACGUGAAAUUGUUGAAAGGGAAGCGCUUGCGGCCAGACUCGCCCGCGGAUGUUCAGCCUGCCUUCUGGCGGGUGCACUCUUCCGCGGUCGGGCCAGCAUCGGUUUGGGCGGCCGGACAAAGGCCCGGGGAACGUGGCCCCCUUCGGGGGGUGUUAUAGCCCCGGGUGCAAUGCGGCCAGCCUGGACCGAGGAUCGCGCUCUGCUAGGAUGCUGGCGUAAUGGCCGUAAGCGGCCCGUCUUGAAACACGGACCAAGGAGUCUAACAUCUAUGCGAGUGUUUGGGUGUAAAACCCGUGCGCGUAAUGAAAGUGAACGGAGGUGGGAACCUUAGGGUGCACCAUCGACCGAUCCUGAUGUCUUCGGAAGGAUUUGAGUAAGAGCAUAGCUGUUGGGACCCGAAAGAUGGUGAACUAUGCCUAGAUAGGGUGAAGCCAGAGGAAACUCUGGUGGAGGCUCGCAGCGGUUCUGACGUGCAAAUCGAUCGUCAAAUCUGGGUAUAGGGGCGAAAGACUAAUCGAACCAUUUAGUAGCUGGGUUCUGCGAGCUCCCCCCCUCGGAGAGAAA
Molecule: ribosomal RNA, 930 nt
Filed under: Sympodiella goidanichii
Lineage: Eukaryota; Fungi; Ascomycota; Dothideomycetes; Venturiales; Cylindrosympodiaceae
Description: partial large subunit ribosomal RNA
Rfam family: Eukaryotic large subunit ribosomal RNA
Source: RNAcentral